This is a long non-coding RNA of Pseudoliparis swirei, 1699 nucleotides long. RefSeq lists it as uncharacterized. The record is from RefSeq and is a predicted model, not a curated record. The transcript has 2 exons. NCBI's taxonomy places the organism in Eukaryota, Metazoa, Chordata, Actinopteri, Perciformes, Liparidae.
UUAAAUAUGUAGCUGGUACGCACUUGUAAUGGUUUUGUCUGUGGAUUUACGAGCCAGCGUAACAUCGUGACUCGGGUUGGGUACCGGAACCCGGUGCCAAUAUGGUACCGGUUCCAAUACAACCGGUGUUACCCGGACCGAAACGCAACGCACAUUUCGGUGCUUCUUUCCGGUGCCUGAGCCGAUUGAAAUUGAAAAAAACUAUUGUUGUGAACUUCUCUGGUGACUCCGCCCUGUCAGCAGGUUGCGAGCCUCUCAUAUGUAACUUUGACAGCGGAGGCUGCGCCGUGUGUGACGGCGUGAACCCGUGUGGAGCACACCAGCGUCAGGCUGGACGCGACGGGGAGACCGUCACCGGUCCCCCUGAACACGGGGAGACCGAUGAUGACGAGCAGCCUGAACUCAGAUUAGUACCGGAACGUUGAUUGCAAGUCUUGCAUUCAUAAAAGUAGCCCAAGAAAUAAUAAAUUAGCCAAUAUAACCAUGUUUAAGCUAGCUCGUAGCUAGCGCUAGCUACGAGCUACGAACGUGACAGUCUGCUAGCAGAUAUGUUGAUGUCCAGCGAUCCCGGCUGUAUACCCGGUGUUACCGGGAAUAUAACAGGGUGUCUGCGGGGCAUUAAAAAGUCUUAAAAAGUCUUAAAUUGCUUUUCCUAAAAAUAAGGCCUUAAAAAGUCUUAAAUUGUCUUAAAUUCAGAUUGGAUUGGUCUUAAAUUUUUUGGGUGUCAUGUCAUUACGAAUAUGAGGCAAUCUGUUCCGCCAGGUCCGUAUUUUGCUCCGGUCGCUCUGCGGUGUCUCUGGUGUCACCGGGGCCACGCCCCUUCUCUUAAAGGGGCCCCGCGUAUUCGGUCCCAUCCCCUACAACGUGAAGCAUCGGCUAGUUUAGAAAACAUCGGGGGGGAUGCAAGUUCAACAACGGCUUGAAAAGAACGAGUGUUUCUGGUCACGGUCGGUGAAAUGCUUCUGAAUCUGCGUUAUGUGUCGCGAGACUUUCCAGCGGUGGAAUCUCACGUAGAGCAAGAAGCACAGAGACUAGCGAAGGCCGCCAGCAGCCCGCGGGGCUAGCUGCUGCUCCGCCGCUAGCUCCUGCUCCGCCGCCCGCAACGACGUCAACUACAACGCUGGAGGUCACCGGAGGAAAUCCAGCGCCGUGCAACAAAGAGCUCAUCACCGAAGACCAACGCUGCAGUGCGUUCUUCAUUCUGUUCCACGAGACUCUGGACCAGACCACCGCGAGCAGACAGCUGGACUUCAUGUGCGUUAUUGGUGAAAUGACCACGUCCAGUCAGGAUCCUGUGGAGCUCAUGGGCCAUGACACCGCCCAGGACCUACUUCAGCAUCUCAAAGAGAAUGGAUCAAAUGUCAACUGGAAGUUUUUAUAUUAAUACAGUUUGAAAAGGAUUGUUUUCCUAGUAUAUUCACAAAAGCUCAGGAGUAGACAUGAACCUGUGCACAAACAUCCAUCACAUAGAGACAUGAGAACUCUCACUCACACACACAUACAUUCUAUUAUGUAAAUGAAUUUGCAUUUUAAAAGCAGCUGGAAAUGUUAUUUAUGUUGUUUUAUAGAUUUUUUUGGUUCAAAAGGAACUAUGUUGCACGUAUUUUAAAAAUAUAUUUAAUUUAUUUUAUAGACAUUUGUUCAUGGGACUUAAAUGUUCUGAAAAUGUUGUAUUAAUAAAUAUAAUUUUCAACAGCAA